This 1365-nucleotide long non-coding RNA is filed under the name Pan troglodytes (chimpanzee). Its description in RNAcentral is "long non-coding RNA NONPTRT008093". Lineage: Eukaryota; Metazoa; Chordata; Mammalia; Primates; Hominidae. The record is from RNAcentral.
CAUCCAUUGGCUGAAAGCUUCGUCUAUUUGAGGCUGACUGAAAGCGUUCCUUUCUUCUGUGUUGCCUGGAAACGGACUGUCUGCCUAGUAACAUCUGAUCGCGUUUCCCAUUGGCCGCCGUUUCCGGAAGCCCGCCCUCCCAUUUCCGGAAGCCUGGCUUAAGGUUGGUCUGCAGGUGGCCUCCAGGUGCAAAGUGGGAAGUGUGAGUCCUCAGUCUUGGGCUAUUCGGCCACGUGCCUGCCGGACAUGGGACGCUGGAGGGUCAGCAGCGUGGAGUCCUGGCCUUUUGCGUCCACGGGUGGGAAAUUGGCCAUUGCCACGGCGGGAACUGGGACUCAGGCUGCCUCCCGGCCGUUUCUCAUCAGUCCACUGGACUCGUGGGCGCUCGCACUGGCGCUGAUGUAGUUUCCUGACCUCUGACCCGUAUUGUCUCCAGAUUAAAGGUACGACAUUUGGAGGCCCCAGCGAGAAACGCCACCGGGCGAGAGCCGGGCCCGCUGUGUGCUCCCCCGGAAGGACAGCCAGCUUGUAGGGGGGAGCGCCACCUGAAAAAAAAUUUCCAGGUCCCCAAAGGGUGACCGUCUUCCGGAGGACAGCGGAUCGACUACCAUGUGGGUGCCCACAAAAAUUCCACCUCUGAGUCCUCAACUGCUGACCCCGGGGUCAGGCCCCUGGAUCCUCCUGGAAUCCCCGAUCCCUGUUGCUCCCUGGCGGAGUUUUCUAGUCCCUCUUACUUGAAGCAUGUCUUUCAGAGCCCGGCACCACCCAUCUUGAGUAUCUGAUACCCCAUCAGCCUGAGUCUCUUAAAGGCCUUUAUACGCAUAUGUCUACACAUAGGGAUUUGGAUUAUCUCGGGAUCCCACAUCCUCGCUGUCCCCUGUCCCCCCGCAACAUCCCCCACCAAUACCUUUCUGAAGUUUUCUAGUCCCUCCUUUUAGUUUGUGCUCCUUAAAGCCCAGCCCCAUGCCUGACUUUGGUUCCCAGUGAGCAUUGUACAUUUGUGGAUAUUAAAUCUUUGGCAAAGUCAUUUACCUGGGCUGGAAUAGGGCUCUUGGCUGAUUCUUUUUCCUAAACACCCACCCAAUGGGAGAGGCUGAUACUCAACAUGCAAACCUUGUGUUUUAUUUCUCCAGGCGAAGGGAUGUUGGAAGACAUUCUGGAAGGGGUGGGGUGUGAAGAUUUAAAAAUAAUCUUUGAAUAUCCGCUUCAUGAUAGGUCUUGGAGGUGCCUUGUGGGUGUGGCUUUGGGGGGAUGGUUACGAGGAAAUUGUGGAUAUUAAGGAAGUCAGGAAAGGAAAAGAUCAGUCACAAUUCAACAAUUCAGAGAAAGCUCCUAAGGGACUUUCUGGCUGCUUGAUGCCCAGAG